AGUGAACGCUGGCGGUAGGCCUAACACAUGCAAGUCGAACGGCAGCACAGUAAGAGCUUGCUCUUACGGGUGGCGAGUGGCGGACGGGUGAGGAAUACAUCGGAAUCUACUUUUUCGUGGGGGAUAACGUAGGGAAACUUACGCUAAGACCGCAUACGACCUACGGGUGAAAGCAGGGGAUCUUCGGACCUUGCGCGAUUGAAUGAGCCGAUGUCGGAUUAGCUAGUUGGCGGGGUAAAGGCCCACCAAGGGGACGCUCCGUCGCCGGACUGAGAGGAUGAUCAGCCGCACUAGAAAGGAGACGAGGUCCAGACUCCUAAGGGAGGCAGCAGUGGGGAAUAUUGGAGAAUGGGCGGAAGCCUGAUCCAGACAUACCGCGUGAGUGAAGAAGGCCUUCGGGUUGUAAAGCCCUUUUGUUGGGAAAGAAAAGCAGCAGGUUAAUACCCCGCUGUUCUGACGGUACCCAAAGAAUAAGCACCGGCUAACUUCGUG
RNAcentral lists this ribosomal RNA (492 nucleotides) under uncultured bacterium. RNAcentral's name for it is "partial 16S ribosomal RNA". It matches the Rfam family "Bacterial small subunit ribosomal RNA", at positions 29 to 507 of the family's 1533-position model. The record is from RNAcentral.